This 716-nucleotide ribosomal RNA is filed under the name Klebsiella pneumoniae. RNAcentral describes it as "partial 23S ribosomal RNA". It matches the Rfam family "Bacterial large subunit ribosomal RNA", at positions 419 to 1137 of the family's 2925-position model. Lineage: Bacteria; Pseudomonadati; Pseudomonadota; Gammaproteobacteria; Enterobacterales; Enterobacteriaceae. The record is from RNAcentral. RNAcentral also lists the same sequence under 1 other name.
GGGACACGUGGUAUCCUGUCUGAAUAUGGGGGGACCAUCCUCCAAGGCUAAAUACUCCUGACUGACCGAUAGUGAACCAGUACCGUGAGGGAAAGGCGAAAAGAACCCCGGCGAGGGGAGUGAAAAAGAACCUGAAACCGUGUACGUACAAGCAGUGGGAGCACCUUCGGGUGUGACUGCGUACCUUUUGUAUAAUGGGUCAGCGACUUAUAUUCUGUAGCAAGGUUAACCGUAUAGGGGAGCCGCAGGGAAACCGAGUCUUAACUGGGCGUUAAGUUGCAGGGUAUAGACCCGAAACCCGGUGAUCUAGCCAUGGGCAGGUUGAAGGUUGGGUAACACUAACUGGAGGACCGAACCGACUAAUGUUGAAAAAUUAGCGGAUGACUUGUGGCUGGGGGUGAAAGGCCAAUCAAACCGGGAGAUAGCUGGUUCUCCCCGAAAGCUAUUUAGGUAGCGCCUCGUGAACUCAUCUUCGGGGGUAGAGCACUGUUUCGGCUAGGGGGUCAUCCCGACUUACCAACCCGAUGCAAACUACGAAUACCGAAGAAUGUUAUCACGGGAGACACACGGCGGGUGCUAACGUCCGUCGUGAAGAGGGAAACAACCCAGACCGCCAGCUAAGGUCCCAAAGUCAUGGUUAAGUGGGAAACGAUGUGGGAAGGCACAGACAGCCAGGAUGUUGGCUUAGAAGCAGCCAUCAUUUAAAGAAAGCGUAA